CCUACGGGUGGCAGCAGUCGAGAAUCAUUCACAAUGGGCGAAACCCUGAUGGUGCGACGCCGCGUGGGGGAAUGAAGGUCUUCGGAUUGUAAACCCCUGUCAUGUGGGAGCAAAUUAAAAAGAUAGUACCACAAGAGGAAGAGACGGCUAACUCUGUGCCAGCAGCCGCGGUAAUACAGAGGUCUCAAGCGUUGUUCGGAAUCACUGGGCGUAAAGCGUGCGUAGGCUGUUUCGUAAGUCGUGUGUGAAAGGCGCGGGCUCAACCCGCGGACGGCACAUGAUACUGCGAGACUAGAGUAAGGGAGAGGGAACCGGAAUUCUCGGUGUAGCAGUGAAAUGCGUAGAUAUCGAGAGGAACACUCGUGGCGAAGGCGGGUUCCUGGACAUUAACUGACGCUGAGGCACGAAGGCCAGGGGAGCGAAAGGGAUUAGAUACCCUAGUAGUC
This 446-nucleotide ribosomal RNA is filed under the name uncultured bacterium. RNAcentral describes it as "partial 16S ribosomal RNA". It matches the Rfam family "Bacterial small subunit ribosomal RNA", at positions 338 to 795 of the family's 1533-position model. The record is from RNAcentral.